Molecule: unclassified non-coding RNA, 300 nt
Filed under: plant metagenome
Description: partial contains small subunit ribosomal RNA and internal transcribed spacer 1
Rfam family: Eukaryotic small subunit ribosomal RNA (bases 1-46)
Source: RNAcentral
AAGUCGUAACAAGGUUUCCGUAGGUGAACCUGCGGAAGGAUCAUUACUGAGUUAGGGUCUUCAUGGCCCGACCUCCAACCCCUCGUGUUAAGUCAAAUCAUCCACCGAUUGCCGUUUCGGGCCUCGGGGGCCCCGGGUCCCCCGUUCCCUUCCGUCAGGGAAGGCCACCGGCCCCGGGGGGGGAAGGGGUUUUUCCCCAACCUCUCUGGCCCCGUUGCCCCGCCCGGGUGGGCCCAAAACCACAAAAACUCUUGAUAAACACUGUCGUCUGAGUUACAUUUAUUUAAUUAAAAAAUAAAA